RNAcentral lists this ribosomal RNA (423 nucleotides) under uncultured bacterium. RNAcentral describes it as "partial 16S ribosomal RNA". It matches the Rfam family "Bacterial small subunit ribosomal RNA", at positions 359 to 774 of the family's 1533-position model. The record is from RNAcentral.
GAAUAUUGGACAAUGGGGGCAACCCUGAUCCAGCCAUGCCGCGUGUGUGAAGAAGGUNNNCGUAUNGUAAAGCACUUUAAGUUNGGCNGAAGGGCUUUAGGUUAAUACCCUGAAGUUUUGACGUUACCAACAUAAUAAGCACCGGCUAGCUACGUGCCAGCAGCCGCGGUAAUACGUAGGGUGCAAGCGUUAAUCGGAAUUACUGGGCGUAAAGCGCGCGUAGGUGGUUCAGUAAGAUGGGUGUGAAAUCCCCGGGCUUAACCUGGGAACUGCUUUCAUAACUGCUGAGCUAGAGUACGGUAGAGGGUAGUGGAAUUUCCUGUGUAGCGGUGAAAUGCGUAGAUAUAGGAAGGAACACCAGUGGCGAAGGCGACUACCUGGACUGAUACUGACACUGAGGUGCGAAAGCGUGGGGAGCAAACA